RNAcentral lists this ribosomal RNA (492 nucleotides) under Salmonella enterica. RNAcentral's name for it is "partial 23S ribosomal RNA". It matches the Rfam family "Bacterial large subunit ribosomal RNA", at positions 1206 to 1649 of the family's 2925-position model. The record is from RNAcentral. Lineage: Bacteria; Pseudomonadati; Pseudomonadota; Gammaproteobacteria; Enterobacterales; Enterobacteriaceae.
ACGAUUGACGGAGCGGAGCGACGUGAAAGCGUUUUACAACGUUGAGUUGGCUUAGGGAUACGUUCGUUGGGUAGGGGAGCGUUCUGUAAGCCUGCGAAGGUGUGCUGUGAGGCAUGCUGGAGAUAUCAGAAGUGCGAAUGCUGACAUAAGUAACGAUAAAGCGGGUGAAAAGCCCGCUCGCCGGAAGACCAAGGGUUCCUGUCCAACGUUAAUCGGGGCAGGGUGAGUCGACCCCUAAGGCGAGGCCGAAAGGCGUAGUCGAUGGGAAACGGGUUAAUAUUCCCGUACUUGGUGUUACUGCGAAGGGGGGACGGAGAAGGCUAUGUUGGCCGGGCGACGGUUGUCCCGGUUUAAGCGUGUAGGUGUGUGUUCCAGGUAAAUCCGGUUCACUUUAACACUGAGGCGUGAUGACGAGGCACUACGGUGCUGAAGCAACAAAUGCCCUGCUUCCAGGAAAAGCCUCUAAGCAUCAGGUAACACGAAAUCGUACCC